GACUCUCGACAACGUAUAUCUCGGCUCUUACAUCGAUGAAGAACAUAGCAAAAUUCGAUACUUGGUGUGAAUUACAGAAUCUCAUGAACCAUCGAGUUUUUGAACGCAAGUUGCUCCCUAGGCCAUUAGGCUGAGGGCACGCCUGUCUGGGCGUCA
This is a ribosomal RNA of Macadamia integrifolia, 156 nucleotides long. RefSeq annotates it as 5.8S ribosomal RNA. NCBI's taxonomy places the organism in Eukaryota, Viridiplantae, Streptophyta, Magnoliopsida, Proteales, Proteaceae. The transcript has a single exon. The record is from RefSeq and is a predicted model, not a curated record.